GACCGCGUAGCUCGGUUGGAAGAGCAUUGGGCUAGUAUUCCAAAGGUCGUAGGUUCGAAUCCCACCGUGGCCG
This 73-nucleotide transfer RNA is filed under the name Paramuricea clavata. It matches the Rfam family "tRNA". From Rfam's summary of the family: Transfer RNA (tRNA) molecules are approximately 80 nucleotides in length. Their secondary structure includes four short double-helical elements and three loops (D, anti-codon, and T loops). The record is from Rfam by way of RNAcentral. Lineage: Eukaryota; Metazoa; Cnidaria; Anthozoa; Malacalcyonacea; Plexauridae.